Canis lupus familiaris (dog) is the source of this 110-nucleotide non-coding RNA. NCBI's taxonomy places the organism in Eukaryota, Metazoa, Chordata, Mammalia, Carnivora, Canidae. The record is from Rfam.
UAUGGCCAUACCACCCUGAACGCGCCUGAUCUCGGAAGCUAAGCAGGGUCGGGCCUGGUUAGUACUUGGAUGGGAGGAUGCAAAGCAGCUGGGGAAGACCCAGUCCAUUU